RNAcentral lists this ribosomal RNA (255 nucleotides) under uncultured bacterium. RNAcentral describes it as "partial 16S ribosomal RNA". It matches the Rfam family "Bacterial small subunit ribosomal RNA", at positions 524 to 777 of the family's 1533-position model. The record is from RNAcentral.
UACGUAGGGGGCGAGCGUUGUCCGGAUUUAUUGGGCGUAAAGAGCGUGUAGGCGGCCAGGUAGGUCUGCUGUGAAAACUCGAGGCUCAACCUCGAGACGUCGGCGGAAACCAUCUGGCUAGAGUCCGGAAGAGGAGAGUGGGAAUUCCUGGUGUAGCGGUGAAAUGCGUAGAUAUCGGGAGGAACAUCCGUGGCGAAGGCGGCCAUCUGGAUCAACACUGACGCUGAGGCACGAAAGCGUGGGGAGCAAACAGGG